GGGGUUUUGGCGGCGGCGUGCCUAAUACAUGCAAGUCGAGCGGACAGAAGGGAGCUUGCUCCCGGAUGUUAGCGGCGGACGGGUGAGUAACACGUGGGUAACCUGCCUGUAAGACUGGGAUAACUCCGGGAAACCGGAGCUAAUACCGGAUAGUUCCUUGAACCGCAUGGUUCAAGGAUGAAAGACGGUUUCGGCUGUCACUUACAGAUGGACCCGCGGCGCAUUAGCUAGUUGGUGGGGUAAUGGCUCACCAAGGCGACGAUGCGUAGCCGACCUGAGAGGGUGAUCGGCCACACUGGGACUGAGACACGGCCCAGACUCCUACGGGAGGCAGCAGUAGGGAAUCUUCCGCAAUGGACGAAAGUCUGACGGAGCAACGCCGCGUGAGUGAUGAAGGUUUUCGGAUCGUAAAGCUCUGUUGUUAGGGAAGAACAAGUGCGAGAGUAACUGCUCGCACCUUGACGGUACCUAACCAGAAAGCCACGGCUAACUACGUGCCAGCAGCCGCGGUAAUACGUAGGUGGCAAGCGUUGUCCGGAAUUAUUGGGCGUAAAGGGCUCGCAGGCGGUUUCUUAAGUCUGAUGUGAAAGCCCCCGGCUCAACCGGGGAGGGUCAUUGGAAACUGGGAAACUUGAGUGCAGAAGAGGAGAGUGGAAUUCCACGUGUAGCGGUGAAAUGCGUAGAGAUGUGGAGGAACACCAGUGGCGAAGGCGACUCUCUGGUCUGUAACUGACGCUGAGGAGCGAAAGCGUGGGGAGCGAACAGGAUUAGAUACCCUGGUAGUCCACGCCGUAAACGAUGAGUGCUAAGUGUUAGGGGGUUUCCGCCCCUUAGUGCUGCAGCUAACGCAUUAAGCACUCCGCCUGGGGAGUACGGUCGCAAGACUGAAACUCAAGGAAUUGACGGGGGCCCGCACAAGCGGUGGAGCAUGUGGUUUAAUUCGAAGCAACGCGAAGAACCUUACCAGUCUUGACAUCCUCUGACAACCCUAGAGAUAGGGCUUUCCCUUCGGGACAGAGUGACAGGUGGUGCAUGGUUGUCGUCAGCUCGUGUCGUGAGAUUGUUGGGUUAAGUCCCGCAACGAGCGC
Molecule: ribosomal RNA, 1088 nt
Filed under: Bacillus sp. (in: firmicutes)
Lineage: Bacteria; Bacillati; Bacillota; Bacilli; Caryophanales; Bacillaceae
Description: bacterial SSU rRNA
Rfam family: Bacterial small subunit ribosomal RNA
Source: RNAcentral